AUCUCCAUGGUGUAGUGGUUAUCACGUGGAUCUCAUUUAUCAAUGACCUAAAGGUUCACUUUCAGGAAACCCCAAGGCCGGGAUCAAUCCUGGCUUGGGACA
This is a non-coding RNA of Aspergillus heteromorphus CBS 117.55, 102 nucleotides long. Lineage: Eukaryota; Fungi; Ascomycota; Eurotiomycetes; Eurotiales; Aspergillaceae. The record is from the annotation of a RefSeq genome assembly.